UUCUUCAGACUCUUCUAAGUGCCCACAGA
Molecule: small RNA, 29 nt
Filed under: Bombyx mori (domestic silkworm)
Lineage: Eukaryota; Metazoa; Arthropoda; Insecta; Lepidoptera; Bombycidae
Description: ovarian small RNA-4086
Source: RNAcentral